RNAcentral lists this ribosomal RNA (253 nucleotides) under uncultured bacterium. RNAcentral describes it as "partial 16S ribosomal RNA". It matches the Rfam family "Bacterial small subunit ribosomal RNA", at positions 524 to 776 of the family's 1533-position model. The record is from RNAcentral.
GACGAAGGGAGCAAGCGUUAUUCGGAAUAACUGGGCGUAAAGAGCGUGUAGGCGGUAAAUUAAGUCGAUUGUUAAAUUCCCUGGCUUAACUAGGGAUCAGCAAUUGAUACUGAUUUGCUAGAGGGCAAGAGAGAGAAGUGGAAUUCUCGGAGUAGCGGUAAAAUGCAUAGAUCUCGAGAGGAACACCGGUUGCGAAGGCGGCUUCUUGGCUUGUACCUGACGCUAAAGCGCGAAAGCGUGGGGAGCAAACAGG